This 85-nucleotide transfer RNA is filed under the name Bacteroides sp. CAG:633. RNAcentral's name for it is "transfer RNA-Leu(TAA)". It matches the Rfam family "tRNA". From Rfam's summary of the family: Transfer RNA (tRNA) molecules are approximately 80 nucleotides in length. Their secondary structure includes four short double-helical elements and three loops (D, anti-codon, and T loops). Further hydrogen bonds mediate the characteristic L-shaped molecular structure. tRNAs have two regions of fundamental functional importance: the anti-codon, which is responsible for specific mRNA codon recognition, and the 3' end, to which the tRNAs corresponding amino acid is attached (by aminoacyl-tRNA synthetases). tRNAs cope with the degeneracy of the genetic code in two manners: having more than one tRNA (with a specific anti-codon) for a particular amino acid; and 'wobble' base-pairing, i.e. permitting non-standard base-pairing at the 3rd anti-codon position. Lineage: Bacteria; Pseudomonadati; Bacteroidota; Bacteroidia; Bacteroidales; Bacteroidaceae. RNAcentral also lists the same sequence under 1 other name. The record is from RNAcentral.
GGCUGAGUGGCGAAAUAGGUAAACGCGUGGCACUUAAAAUGCUAUGUCCAUUUUGGACUUGUGGAUUCGAUUUCCACCUCGGUCA